UCAAUAUUUCACUCAAGUUCGCACCUUUUUCAUCACCACCAUAUUGCGACAACUUUUGAAUCAAUUGGGCCACUUCAUUUUCUCUAACGGGCCUAAAAGAAUGGGCACGUUGAGAGCUAAAGAGGUGAUGAACACAAAGUUUUCUCAUCUCUCUCCAAUAAGGACUAUAAGGUGCACAAGCCAGAUCUAAACCAUUGUAAGACAAUUUUCUAAAUCCAAGAAAAGAUGGUCUACUUGCAAAUUUAAGGUCGUGAGUUUUCAACACUUGUUCUGCCAUUUUUGCUGAGGAAACAACUAAGGUUGGUAUGUAACCAAGUUUCAAAGACAUGAUAGGUCCAUAGUGUUUGGAAAGUUGCCAUAGGGAGUGAUGUGGGGAUGAAGGGUCAAGUUGGUGUAGAUUUCCAAUUAGAGGAAAUGGUUUUGGACCUGGUGGAGUUGAUGAUGCUCUUCUAGUACUCUUUGUUUUGUGUAUGUGGAUAAUUAAUAUAAUAAGGAUUGGUAAUAGAUAAACAAGGAAUAGAACUUCCAUGAUGAAACCUUACAAAUUGGAUAUAUAUUUGUAUCUUCAAAAUUAAUAAUAUGUUAGUCAUAGUAAGCACAACGUAUUUAGAGGCUUAAAACGAACAUGAAAAUGAGGUAUUUUAUAUGGAAAAAAAUACAUUAAAUGUCAUCAAUUAAAUUUGAAAUUGCAACUCCAAGCUACAUCAAUCAACAGCCGCACCUAAUAAGCUAAGCUACGUGGAUAUCAAGUAAAGUAUCAAUUUAAUAGUGCUUUUCUGUUUUGAGGCUAAAGACCUUCAGAAAAAUAUUCUUUUUUUAGGCCUAAAUUAAAGGUGGUAUUUACUAUGCACACUACACAAAUUUGUGCACCAUGCACAAAUUUAUGUAUUGAUGCCAGUCUGUUAGAAACCUGCUGAAUUAAAAAAACAAAAAAAUUUAAAAAAUAUUUUAAUUGCAAAUAAUGGUUAGCUGCUAACUCACCUCUCGUUUGUGGUGAAAGAGAAAUACACCUCCUUUCAAUUCAUUUGUUUCACUCAACAAUGCAAGAUUCAAGUUCUAUGAAAUUUUCUUAUCUGGAUCUAUUUUCAGCUAUACACUCAAAGCUAGGUUUGAAACAAAACUCUAUGAAAUUCACCCAAAAUUUUCUGCUGGAGUUUCAAGCUUUAUAUUCAGUAACACUCAAAGGCCAAAGCUCUACGAGAUUUUCUACUUCAAUAAUACUCAAUAGCCGCAAAUUCGUCAUGAAUAUGUCGUACUCUUAACAACUUCAAUGCGCCGUUCUGCCGGUAGCGUCAUCGUAUAAAUAUCGCGCAGAUCUAAUUCUCAAAACUCAAAACCAAUUGAAGUUGCUAAACGCAUCAUCAAGAAGCUUCAAAAGAUCCAUUGAUUUUGCUUCAAUCAUAAUCAAUCGAUUAAUUCUGUGUGUGAACUUAACAAACUAUAUUCUUUUUUUAUUUUUAUUUUAAAUAUGUUUUGGAUUUGGACAAAGGUUUGAAGUUUUUUCUUUGUAUGAUUUAUGGGUUUUAAUUUUUUGAAUAAAAUGUUUGUGUUUCUGGGCAACAAGUUCAUCUUCAUGAAGAUGAAAAAGUAAACUAAGUUAAUGAAAAUGUUUCUGGGCAAAACAUCGGCACACAUUCUAACAUUAGAACCCAACAAAAAUAUUAUAAAUUAAUGUUAUUGUGGGGUAAUGUCUCGGUUUCUGUGUUUAAAGGAAAAAGAAUCUAGCAGGUUGCCAGUCAAACAUCCUGACCGUCUAAUUAGAUUUAAUAUAUAUCAAUGGCUGGUAUUGAUUCAUGACAAUCUUUGUGAAUCAUGCACAAAUUUGUGCAGUGUGCAUAGUAAAUGCCACCUAAAUUAAAAGGUUUAGAUCACCUUAUGUUUGGAUUCAUCUUAAUUUUAACCGGUGCAUAUUCAUAUGUUUUUUCACGUGUGUUAGUGCGUCUCGUUGUAGAAUCACAUAAGAAAGUUAAAAAAAAUAAAUUUGGAAAAAAUAGUUUUAAUUCAUGAUUUUAUUAAAUUCAACGAUUAAGAAUUUUCACAUCCAUAAAAAAUCAAGUCUACUCAAAAUCAAUUUUAUUUAUCAAUAAGAUUUUGCCAUUUAUUCAAACACAAGAAGUGUUUUCAAGUCUAUUGAACUUUGUUUUUUCUGUCGGAAUCAUUUUAUAACGCACAAAAAUCUAAAUGUAAUCGUGAGUGUAUAAUUAUUUGUGCGAUAAUGGAAACCAAAAAUACCAAUGACACACUCGUUUAGAAAUUCCUUCAAAAAUUGUACCCAGAACAAAUUACUUAAAAAAAAAAAAAUCAUUUUUUAGAAAUAGUCAAUAAUAUAAUUAUUUGUUAGGUUAAUAAAUUUUCACCUUUAUAAACCUUAAAUCAAGCGUACCCGUGAGCUUAACUUAGUUGACAAUGACAGUACAUAAUAUUUUUGCAGAGUAAAGGUUCGAACCCCAAACAUCUCACUUAUUCAUCUUAAAGUUGAAUUUCUAACUGCUAGAUGACUUGACAAAAGAAAAUCUCAAAUGAGACAAACUAUCAAACCUAAUAAUAUUCAUAGCUCAUAUAUCCAAAUUCUACGUGAACAAAUAAACAAUAUAUUAAUUUCUUCCUAUUUAAAACAAAUAAAUAAAUAAAUACUAUAACUCUUUCCUCCGACGACGACGACGAUUUUAUUUUUGGAUUCAAUCUCCUUGACGAUCUUUUCGUUAAAAUCAUUUUAACUUUUGUGCAGUCUACUAUAAAAAUGCUUCACGAUCUUUAAUUUGGGUUUUCGAUUAACUAAUAAAGAUUAAAUCAUUAUUAAAGAUAUAUUAAAUUCCAAACCAUACAAUAUCAAAAUUUGCGAGAAAAAAAAUUUGAAUUUGAAUUUUUUUUUUUUGGUGAAAGAUCUUUGAAUUUUAUUGUAUGAAUUAAAAACAAAUGUUUAUAUAUAUAUAUGGUGGUGUUGGCUUGAGAAUCUGGAUAACGUUCUUCACAAAGUCACAGUUCAAUUCUCCUAAUGUUAAUUUUGGUGGACUAAUUUAACUUAAAAAAAACGUUUGUAUAUAUGUAUUGAUGGAAAACAAAUUAUUUUUUUGGUACAAGGAAAACAAUAUUUAAUCCUUAAUAAAAUGGAUGAAUUGAUCAAUAUACCAAAUAUAAUAUCUUAAAUUUAUUCAUAUAUUUGGUAUAGAUGAAAGAGAGGAUAGAUAAGAUGCAAAAGAAUAAAGUUUUUCUAAUUUGAUUCGAGGAUAACUGGAUAAGAGAGACAAAAAAAAAAUGGGUACCACUAUUCUUAUAAUCUUCCCUCCCGUGACGAAAUAUGAGAGAAAAUGACUUGUGUGGAAAAAAUCUUAUGUGGUAGUCACUUAUCUCACCCUAUAUAUAUAUAUAUAUAUAUAUAUAUAUAUAUCACUUAUUGUAUGUUUGGAUCACUCUUUAUACACCUUAGAACAUUUUUUUACACGUAAUGUAACUCACAACUUUAAAUUAACUUUCUGCGUAAAUAAUCUUAAUGGUAGUUAGUGUAGUUACUUUCUACGCAAGUAAUCUUAAUGAAAGGAGAUUUUUUUUUUGUUCUUCAGUUUUAUGUCUUUCAAUAUUCUCGCACAAGCUGGAGCAUGAUAGAUGUUUAUCAUGCCCAACUUGGACACAAAAGAAUGAAACUUGGGUGAUGCUAGCUGUUUAGUGAGGAAACGUGCAAUUUUCUCAUUUGUUGAGAUUGGUAGUAAUCAAAGUAUUCUUUUUUGAAUAUUUAUGCUAACCAAGCGACAAUCGAUUUUUAAAUGCUCAGUUCUUUCAUGGAACACUGAAUUUGAAGCUAUAUGUAUUGCACUCUGACUUUCACAAUAGAGAACCGGUGGUCGUGCACAAGCAACAUCAAAUCAUGCAACAAGUAUAAAAGUCAUUGUAGCUCACAUGUGACUAAUGAUAAUGCUCUAUAUUUUGCUUCCGAAGAAAAGAGAGAUAUAGUUUGAUGUUUCUUAGCACGCCAAGAGAUCAAUGAUGAUCCUAAGAAGAAUAUAAGUAAGCAUUUUUUGUAUGCGAAACAGAUAUCUUCCGCAGCUCGUGUACAAUUGUAGAUAGUAAACUCUUGAGUCGGAUAAAAUCACAAUGGGUACAUAACUCCCCCAAAUACAAGUUAACAUUAUAAGAUGAAAACAUAUUACAAGUCUCUUUUAAUCACUUCCCAAAUUACAAAUGAAACCAUUAUCAAUUGAUCUAGAAAUAAUACAAACUUUGAGGCAUGCAAAUAACAUAACUAAUUGUCAAUAGUACAUAUAUCCUAUGGUUUUCUUUUCCUAGGAAAAAGGCAAAGAUCAAUUUUCUUAUGCAUAGUUAUUCCUGGUUUCACUUUUGUAUCCAACACUUGUUCCUUGUCAAAACCAUGAGGCAACUUCCAAUCAAAAGAGUGAAGAAGAUUAGCAAGUGUAAGCUCAACAGUGACCACUCCCAUGUUCAUUGCAGGACACAUUCUUCUUCCACUUCCAAAUGGAAUUAGCUCAAAAUUUUUCCCUUUAAAGUCCACUGAACUCAUAAUGAACCUUUCAGGAUAAAACUCUUCAGGGUCUUUCCAAUUCUCAGGAUCCCUUCCUAUGGCCCAUGCAUUAACAUACACUAAAGUUUUUGGUUUAAUCUCAUAACCAUCUAUGUUACAAUUUUCUAUUGUUUCUCUUGGUACUAGUAAUGGUGAUGGUGGAAAUAAUCUCAUUGUCUCUUUCACCACUGCUUUAAGAUAAGGUAGCUUUUCAAUAUCAUCUUCAUUUAUAAAAUAUUUGUCUUCAUAUAAGUUUCUGAUUUCCAUUUGAACCUUGUUCAUCACUCUAGGAUUGUUCAUCAAUGUUGUCAUAGCCCAAACCACUAUUGCUGAACUUGUGUCUGUUCCUGCUAUAAAAAUGUUCUGCAUAUAUAAUAUGCAUGUCGUUAAUUAACCACAUAAACUUAAAUAUUAAUCACAAUAUUAUCUUGUUUAAUGAAAUAGAAGAUGAAGAAGGAUGAAUUAAAAUUAUCCAUAAAUUUUUCAAUUAUUUUCUAAUUGAGUAUUACAAAUAUACAACAAAGCAUAUAAAGAUAGUUUUGCUUGGUGAUGACACUUUGUCAUUACAUAAUUUUUAGUGUAAAGGCAUGAUAUUUUGAGUUCACAAGUAAGCUUAAACAACAAGAAAAACUGAAGAAAGUGAUGAAAGUGAAAUCGUGACACGGUUGCUGAAAAACGCGUCACGAUUUAGAGCACAGAAUGAGGUGCAUUCGACAUUGCUGGAAUCGGGACAAGAUAGCAUAAACAUGUCACGAUUUGAAGAGUAAAAAUCUGACCCAUGGGCUUAGUAAGAAGGAAUCGGGACACGAUUAGGCACGUCCUUGUGCCUAUUCAAGCUUAAGCUAGUGCAGAAAAUAAGGGUUGCGAAUUAUGGAGAGAGAAAGUGCAAUUUGCAGACCUGAAGACUGAAGAAAGGGGCGAUUUCCUUCGUUCUUUACUAGUUUAUGUAUGUUUUAAUUCUUUCAUUGAUUAUGCUAUUUGUAAACUCAAUUAUGAGUAGUUAAAUCUCUUAGAGAUUAGGUGUGAGAUGAUUCUGAUGUAACCCUAAUUUAAACAUGUUGAUGUGAAACUCUAUUUCUUAUGAAUAUCAAUCUAGUUUUAUUCAAUUCAAUUGUUCUUAGUGCUUUUUAUAUGCUGAUCACAUAUAUACAUGAAUUCGUGAGAAUGAAUGACUAUUGAUCAUAACUUUCAACUUAGACCUGAUUGAAUUGUUCAAAUAAACAGGGUCAGUCUAGGAAUAGAUAAUCGUUUAUUUGUAAUAAGAGGUUAACGUUCUUAAAACCUUCAAAGAAUAUUAGAUCACCUAAGGAAUUAUGGACUGUAAUCUGAGAAGAGGGUCCUAAGUCAAGGUAUUGAUUAGGGUUAUUUUAGUUAAUCAUCGUGAAACUAGAGAAAUAUUCAUAGGAAGUAGGUGCAGUGUACCAAUUAUGGGAAUUUAGAGAAUUCGAAAGACCUAGUCUAAUCUCUCUCUAUCUUUUCUAAACAACUUUAUUUUCUGAUAUUUACUUUUUAUGCACAACAAACCUACCACCUCGGGUACUAAAAUAAAUUUACACAUCCUAUUUCAUAACACUAUUGUUUAAUUGAGAUUAACACGGUCCUUGUAGAAACAAACUUUAUUAUAUUACUUUGAUAGUUUUUAGUACACUUGCUAAAUUUCUAUCACUUGGUAUCGAUAGCCAACCACCUAAGAAUUUACCAAAACAUAAUACUAAUAAGCUAAUCAACUAUUUUUGAAGUAUUCUAUUUUUGAAACAUGUCGUUCAUCCUUGUGCAAGAAAUCAAAGGAGGGUUAAAAAAACCUAAAUUUCAUGGAUGAUUUAGUUAAAAAAUUUAGGAACAAAAAUACCAAUAAGGAUGAGUCAAUACCAUAAGCACAGCUUUGAUGUGGUCAAGAGUGAGAUCAAAAGAGAGUGAGUGAUCAUUCAUCAUCUGCAAUAAGAUAUCAAUAAUAUCAUCUACUUCUUGUUCCUUAGUUUUAGGCCUUGCUGAAUUAUCCAUGUGGUCAUCAAUAACUCUUUGGUAUAUCAAAUCCAACUCCUUGAAUGUUUUAUCAAGCCUCCCAAGAGUUCCUUUGACUCUAUCAAUCCAACCCAACAAUGGAAAAUUAUCUGAAAAGUAAAAUUCAGCCAACAAAGCUUGAGCUUCAUUAAGCAAAACUUGCAAUCUACUUCUCUUUUGUCCACUUCCCAAUUCAACUUCUUCUUCAUAAUCACAAACAUAUGUUUUUCCAAAAGCUAUCUUACAUAUAAUUGUAUUUGUGAGAGACAUCAAUAUUUCACUCAAGUUCGCACCUUUUUCAUCACCACCAUAUUGCGACAACUUUUGAAUCAAUUGGGCCACUUCAUUUUCUCUAACGGGCCUAAAAGAAUGGACACGUUGAGAGCUAAAGAGAUGUUGAACACAAAGUUUUCUCAUCUCUCUCCAAUAAGGACUAUAAGGUGCAAAAGCAAGAUCUAAACCAUUGUAAGACAAUUUUCUUAGUCCUAGGAAAGAUGGUCUACUUGCAAAUUUAAGGUCAUGGGUUUUCAACACUUGUUCUGCCAUUUUUGCUGAGGAAACAAUUAAGGUUGGUAUGUAACCAAGUUGCAAAGACAUGAUAGGUCCAUAGUGUUUGGAAAGUUUCCAUAAGGAGUGAUGUGGGGAUGAAGGGUCAAGCUGGUGUAGAUUUCCAAUUAGAGGAAGUGGUUUUGGACCUGGUGG
This 7216-nucleotide long non-coding RNA is filed under the name Medicago truncatula (barrel medic). RNAcentral describes it as "long non-coding RNA (MTRU_LNC008726)". The record is from RNAcentral. Lineage: Eukaryota; Viridiplantae; Streptophyta; Magnoliopsida; Fabales; Fabaceae.